GGGGGGCUGCGGGAUCUCUGCCCCCACCCCUCCCGCCUCGGUCCCGGGAGUCUCUAGACCCCACCGUCCAGACGCCCCCCUUAGGCUCCCGCACCGAGCCCCAGUCCAGGAGCGGCGCUCAGUGGCCCCCAAUAGAGCCCAGCCCCUUCCAGCGCUCAAACUCUUUUGUUUUAAAUGAACUGGAUGGAGCAGCAUGGAACUGACGGGAGGGGGGCGCGCCGGGGGCGCCCGGGGCAUGCCGGGAGUUGUAGUUCCCGCCCUCGGGGGCGCGGGGACGAAUUCCUUGACCCGAGGAAGACAGGGAUGUGCCUUCGGUCUUUACGCUCUGCUGGGAGGCGAAGCCGGGGGUGGGAAGGCAGUCGAGGUCCCUCAUUUUUAAAGAGGAAAGGAGUCAGUGUACAGAAACGGAACGGGUUGAAAACAGGCUAAUGGAGUGUGCCCCCCUCCCAAAACGGGCUCCUUCGCGAUCCCGGCCAGUCUUAGGUCCCUCUUUCUUAUGGUAAUGAGGCGGGGGGAGAGGGCGGGGAGCUGUCCCGGCUGGGCCACUGCGGCUUUCUCUGGCUUUCUCUCUCCUCUUCCCCCUCCCUGCCGCGCUCCCUCUCCGCUCUCCGCUCCCCCCUCCCGUUCUCCCAGAGUCGAUCCCGGCUCCGGGCCGCGGGCAGAGGUUCUCCGCAGAGCAGACAAAGCCCGCAGCGGCGAUGCGUGGAGAACACGGCUCUGCGCGCUGGGGGGAGGGGGUGGGGGGCCGGGAUGGGGUGCCGGGUUGGAGGGUGGGACCCCCUGGCAAAAGACGGGGUCCCCUCUUCCCCAAGCGGCAAGCCAUCCCCCUUCCUCCCUUCCCUCCCCCCAGUCUCGGAGAUCAGAGAAGCACCGACUGGGAGGGUGGACCCAUGGGGCCUGCAGUCACUCUGGCCGACCCUUCGACCCUCAAGAACCUCCAUCAGCGCCAGGGAGCCUGGGCCCGGAACUGCCUCUCUGCCCCAGCAGCACCCUCUUGGUGCCCUUCCCUCCCCUUCCUGUGCCCCAAUUUCCAGAGGGUCUGAACCCACUGACCCCCAAAGAGAAGCCCUGCAGAGCAGAGACCUCACCCUGAGAAGGUGGGUAAAAAGAAGAGAGCCCCUGUUACGUGUCAGGCCAUGAGCCGGGCCCGUGGCAUGUCUUCUGUCCUGGGGAGUGGUGUCAGGACGUCUCUUCUGCAUAAGGAAAUCGGGGCUCAGCCAGGGCAAUGGAUGGGAACUUCGAGGAGGGUUGGGAGGUCAUCUCAACCCCUUCUUGCAGGCUGUGAGCCCUCCCACCCUUCCCCAGAGCUCCCAUCUGCUCCCCUGAGGGUCCUGGGCUAGCGGUCCUCCCCUGUCCCCUCCCAGCUUCUGACUAAUUCUUUCUGGCAGCAGUUGUAUGCCCAGCCCCCCACUGUGCCCAUGCCAGCGACAGCCCACAUCACAUGGGCCACAUCUGGCUCCAUUUGAGCACACCCUCGCCUCCUCUGCCCUCCCCCUCCUCUGCCCAGGGGCCAGGACAGGAGGGACUCCUGAGAAUCCCUCUUCUCUGGGUCUAGCAGCCCCCAGUUGCCUGCCCUUGCAUAGCCUCUAAUGGAGUCACUUCUUCCCCGCCUUUCCGCCUCCGCAUCCUCUCUUGCAGCCUGCACCCCCUGGACAUCUUGACUCCAUCCUUCAGCAUCCUUUGCCUCACUGUAUCCUGACUGCUUGGACCAUCCUUCUCUCCAGCCUCCACUGAACAACAGAUUGGGAAGGGGAAUUUCACAAGGUUUGAGUGGCAGAGAUGUCCUAGGGUAGGCAGAAGGCCUGGCAGCCCCGGGAUGAACUUGCCCCUAGCCCAGCCCUCUGUCCUCUUACCAGCUUGGGGUUUGGUGGGGGCGGGGGGGUGGACAUUGGUAGGGGUGAUUCCAGGAUAUGUGUGCUUGAAGGGAUGUGGCCACGCCUGUGUGGUGGGGGUGGAGGGCUGAGGAGAACAGUGUGGCUCACCCUCUCUUUUGUGAGGAUGGGAGGAGCCUGGAAAGCCCUCUAGCUACUGGCUUUCCUCCUCCUUCCUCCUUACUUAGCAACUGUUGCCUGGUAAAUAUUUGCCCC
This 2087-nucleotide long non-coding RNA is filed under the name Capra hircus (goat). RNAcentral's name for it is "lncRNA (ENSCHIG00010002972.1)". Lineage: Eukaryota; Metazoa; Chordata; Mammalia; Artiodactyla; Bovidae. The record is from RNAcentral.